UUGGAUGUUUUUUAUACAAAAGAGCGACAACUUCCUUACCUUUCCCCGCCAACCCUAAAAAAAGAUGUCUCUCUUGCAUGGAGUCAGUUUACUUACUACAAGUUAUGAGUACUAUGUAGGCCGGCUAAUUUCCCAGGCUUGGGAAA
RNAcentral lists this small RNA (146 nucleotides) under Pseudomonas indica. RNAcentral's name for it is "Pseudomonas sRNA P14". It matches the Rfam family "Pseudomonas sRNA P14". The record is from Rfam by way of RNAcentral. Lineage: Bacteria; Pseudomonadati; Pseudomonadota; Gammaproteobacteria; Pseudomonadales; Pseudomonadaceae.